This 807-nucleotide ribosomal RNA is filed under the name uncultured bacterium. Its description in RNAcentral is "bacterial SSU rRNA". It matches the Rfam family "Bacterial small subunit ribosomal RNA", at positions 8 to 808 of the family's 1533-position model. The record is from RNAcentral.
AGAGUUUGAUCCUGGCUCAGGAUGAACCUUGGCGGCGUGCUUAACACAUGCAGGUCGAACGGAGCGCCGGACACGGACUAUUUCGGUAGGAAGCGUGCGGAGGCUUAGUGGCGGACGGGUGAGUAACGCGUGGAUAACCUGCCGCAUACCGGGGGAUAACAGCUGGAAACAGCUGCUAAUACCGCAUAUGCCCGCAGUGCCGCAUGGCACAGCGGGGAAAACUCCGGUGGUAUGCGAUGGGUCCGCGUCUGAUUAGGCAGUUGGCGGGGUAACGGCCCACCAAACCGACGAUCAGUAGCCGGCCUGAGAGGGCGGACGGCCACACUGGGACUGAGACACGGCCCACACUCCUGCGGGAGGCAGCAGUGGGGAAUAUUGCGCAGUGGGGGGAAACCCCUGAUGCAGCGACGCCGCGUGAAGGAAGAAGUAUCUCGGUAUGUAAACUUCUAUCAGCAGGGAAGAAAACAGACGGUACCUGAUUAAGAAGCCCCGGCUAACUACGUGCCACCAGCCGCGGUAAUAGGUAGGGGGCAAGCUUUAUCCGGAUUUACUGGGUGUAAAGGGGGCGCAGACGGCCAUGGCAAGCCCGGUGUGAAAGGCAGGGGCAUAACCCCUGGACUGCACUGGGAACUGUCAGGCUGGAGUGCCGGAGGGGUAAGCGGAAUUCCUGGUGUAGCGGUGAAAUGCGUAGAUAUCAGGAGGACACACCGGCGGCGAAGGCGGCUUACUGGACGGCAACUGACGUUGAGGCCCGAAAGCGUGGGGAGCGAACAGGAUUAGAUACCCUGGUAGUCCACGCCGUAAACG